RNAcentral lists this transfer RNA (59 nucleotides) under Haliea salexigens. RNAcentral's name for it is "tRNA-Arg". It matches the Rfam family "tRNA", at positions 8 to 63 of the family's 71-position model. From Rfam's summary of the family: Transfer RNA (tRNA) molecules are approximately 80 nucleotides in length. Their secondary structure includes four short double-helical elements and three loops (D, anti-codon, and T loops). The record is from RNAcentral. Lineage: Bacteria; Pseudomonadati; Pseudomonadota; Gammaproteobacteria; Cellvibrionales; Halieaceae.
UAGCUCAGCUGGAUAGAGCAACGGCCUUCUAAGCCGUAGGUCACAGGUUCGAAUCCUGU